UUGAAAGGGAAACGAUUGAAGUCAGUCGUACCAACGGAAAAUCAGCUCUUCGAGUGCGGACUUGUGGGUUACGUGAGCUUUACGGCCUCGUUGUUUGCAAUGUUCGUUCUUUUUGGGUGUACUUUUUCGUAUGGUUGGCCAAUAUCAGUUUCGAUCGCUAUAAAAUGACCGGCGGAAUGUAGCUUCGAUCUCGUAUUGAAGUGUUAUAGCCUCUGGUAGAUGUGGUGAUUGGGACUGAGGAUUGCAACGAAUACCUUUUGGGCUAUCCGUCUGACCUCUGAUGGUUAGCUGGGUGCCGAAAGCAUGCUUACGGUUAUCCAAGUUGACUGUCAAUAGAUUAGAACGUGAUUACAUUCGUUAAGGAUGUUGACGUA
RNAcentral lists this ribosomal RNA (374 nucleotides) under uncultured Glomeromycotina. Its description in RNAcentral is "LSU rRNA". The record is from RNAcentral. Lineage: Eukaryota; Fungi; Glomeromycota.